This 73-nucleotide transfer RNA is filed under the name Candidatus Altarchaeales archaeon. Its description in RNAcentral is "tRNA-Arg". It matches the Rfam family "tRNA". Rfam says of the family: Transfer RNA (tRNA) molecules are approximately 80 nucleotides in length. Their secondary structure includes four short double-helical elements and three loops (D, anti-codon, and T loops). Further hydrogen bonds mediate the characteristic L-shaped molecular structure. tRNAs have two regions of fundamental functional importance: the anti-codon, which is responsible for specific mRNA codon recognition, and the 3' end, to which the tRNAs corresponding amino acid is attached (by aminoacyl-tRNA synthetases). tRNAs cope with the degeneracy of the genetic code in two manners: having more than one tRNA (with a specific anti-codon) for a particular amino acid; and 'wobble' base-pairing, i.e. permitting non-standard base-pairing at the 3rd anti-codon position. Lineage: Archaea; Nanobdellati; Candidatus Altarchaeota; Candidatus Altarchaeia; Candidatus Altarchaeales. The record is from RNAcentral.
GGGCCUGUAGCCUAGCGGAUAAGGCGACAGCCUUCUAAGCUGUAGAUCAUGGGUUCGAAUCCCAUCAGGCCCA